Molecule: non-coding RNA, 29 nt
Filed under: Mus musculus (house mouse)
Lineage: Eukaryota; Metazoa; Chordata; Mammalia; Rodentia; Muridae
Source: RNAcentral
UCACAUUUAUUUUUGUCUUAAGUCUGCAU